GGAGGGGUGGCCGAGUGGCUGAAGGCGCACGCUUGGAAAGCGUGUAUACAGGCAACUGUAUCGUGGGUUCGAAUCCCACUCCCUCCGCCA
RNAcentral lists this transfer RNA (90 nucleotides) under Rhodospirillaceae bacterium. RNAcentral describes it as "tRNA-Ser". It matches the Rfam family "tRNA". From Rfam's summary of the family: Transfer RNA (tRNA) molecules are approximately 80 nucleotides in length. Their secondary structure includes four short double-helical elements and three loops (D, anti-codon, and T loops). Further hydrogen bonds mediate the characteristic L-shaped molecular structure. tRNAs have two regions of fundamental functional importance: the anti-codon, which is responsible for specific mRNA codon recognition, and the 3' end, to which the tRNAs corresponding amino acid is attached (by aminoacyl-tRNA synthetases). tRNAs cope with the degeneracy of the genetic code in two manners: having more than one tRNA (with a specific anti-codon) for a particular amino acid; and 'wobble' base-pairing, i.e. permitting non-standard base-pairing at the 3rd anti-codon position. RNAcentral also lists the same sequence under 3 other names. The record is from RNAcentral. Lineage: Bacteria; Pseudomonadati; Pseudomonadota; Alphaproteobacteria; Rhodospirillales; Rhodospirillaceae.